RNAcentral lists this ribosomal RNA (465 nucleotides) under uncultured bacterium. RNAcentral describes it as "partial 16S ribosomal RNA". It matches the Rfam family "Bacterial small subunit ribosomal RNA", at positions 28 to 507 of the family's 1533-position model. The record is from RNAcentral.
GACGAACGCUGGCGGCGUGCUUAACACAUGCAAGUCGAACGGAAAGGCCCCUUUGGGGGUACUCGAGUGGCGAACGGGGGAGUAACACGUGAGUAACCUGCCCUUGACUUCGGGAUAACUUCAGGAAACUGGGGCUAAUACCGGAUAGGAAUCCUUGCUGCAUGGUGGGGGUUGGAAAGCUUCGGCGGUUUUGGCUGGACUCGCGGCUUAUCAGCUUGUUGGUGGGGUAGUGGCUUACCAAGGCUUUGACGGGUAGCCGGCCUGAGAGGGCGACCGGCCACCUUGGGCCUGAGAUACGGCCCUGUCUCCUACGGGGGGCAGUAGUGGUGACUAUUGCACAAUGGGCGGAAGCCUGAUGCAGCAACGCCGCGUGCGGGAUGACGGCCGUCGGGUUGGAAGCCGCUUUCAGCAGGGGCGAAGCUUGUGGUGACGGUACCUGCAGAAGAAGCACCGGCUAACUACGUG